Molecule: small nucleolar RNA, 220 nt
Filed under: Triticum aestivum (bread wheat)
Lineage: Eukaryota; Viridiplantae; Streptophyta; Magnoliopsida; Poales; Poaceae
Description: Plant small nucleolar RNA U3
Rfam family: Plant small nucleolar RNA U3
About the family: Small nucleolar RNAs (snoRNAs) are involved in the processing and modification of rRNA in the nucleolus.
Source: Rfam by way of RNAcentral
ACGACCUUACUUGAACAGGAUCUGUUCUAUAGGCUCGUACCGUUGCAUCCUUUACCAAUAAGGAGGCAAGCACUUCAGUCUGGUUGAUGCAUUCUGACCUCUGAGUCAGAGCGUGAUUAACGGCCUGGAUUCACCUGAUGGGUGCCAUCCGACGGCUGUAGAGGAUCGUUCCUGCCUGUUAACACUGGUUUAGGGUGGCUCAGAGGUUGUCUGACAGACU